Molecule: ribosomal RNA, 275 nt
Filed under: uncultured bacterium
Lineage: Bacteria
Description: partial 16S ribosomal RNA
Rfam family: Bacterial small subunit ribosomal RNA
Source: RNAcentral
GCGUGAGUGAAGAAGGCCUUAGGGUUGUAAAGCUCUUUCACCCGCGAAGAUGAUGACGGUAGCGGGAGAAGAAGCCCCGGCUAACUCCGUGCCAGCAGCCGCGGUAAUACGGAGGGGGCUAGCGUUGUUCGGAAUUACUGGGCGUAAAGAGCACGUAGGCGGUUGAUCAAGUUAGGCGUGAAAGCCCCAGGCUUAACCUGGGAAUUGCGUUUAAUACUGGUCAACUUGAGUCCGGGAGAGGGUGGUGGAAUUCCCAGUGUAGAGGUGAAAUUCGU